This 72-nucleotide transfer RNA is filed under the name Marmota marmota marmota (Alpine marmot). It matches the Rfam family "tRNA". From Rfam's summary of the family: Transfer RNA (tRNA) molecules are approximately 80 nucleotides in length. Their secondary structure includes four short double-helical elements and three loops (D, anti-codon, and T loops). Lineage: Eukaryota; Metazoa; Chordata; Mammalia; Rodentia; Sciuridae. The record is from Rfam by way of RNAcentral. RNAcentral also lists the same sequence under 1 other name.
GGGGUUGUGGCUCAGUGAUACAGCACUUGCCUAGCAUGCAUGGGGCACUGGGUUUGAUCCCCAGCAACACAU